UACGUAGGCAGCGAGCGUUGUUCGGAGUUACUGGGCGUAAAGGGUGUGUAGGCGGUUGUUUAAGUUUGGUGUGAAAUCUCCCGGCUCAACUGGGAGGGUGCGCCGAAUACUGAAUGACUUCGAGUGCGGGAGAGGAGAGUGGAAUUCCUGGUGUAGCGGUGAAAUGCGCAGAUAUCAGGAGGAACACCGGUGGCGAAGGCGGGUCUCUGGGCAGUAACUGACGCUGAGGAGCGAAAGCGUGGGGAGCAAACAGG
Molecule: ribosomal RNA, 254 nt
Filed under: uncultured bacterium
Lineage: Bacteria
Description: partial 16S ribosomal RNA
Rfam family: Bacterial small subunit ribosomal RNA
Source: RNAcentral